CUCAGAUUGAACGCUGGCGGCAGGCCUAACACAUGCAAGUCGAACGGUAACAGGAAGCAGCUUGCUUCUUCGCUGACGAGUGGCGGACGGGUGAGUAAUGUCUGGGAAACUGCCUGAUGGAGGGGGAUAACUACUGGAAACGGUAGCUAAUACCGCAUAACGUCGCAAGACCAAAGAGGGGGACCUUCGGGCCUCUUGCCAUCGGAUGUGCCCAGAUGGGAUUAGCUUGUGGUGGGGUAACGGCUCACCAGGCGACGAUCCCUAGCUGGUCUGAGAGGAUGACCAGCCACACUGGAACUGAGACACGGUCCAGACUCCUACGGGAGGCAGCAGUGGGGAAUAUUGCACAAUGGGCGCAAGCCUGAUGCAGCCAUGCCGCGUGUAUGAAGAAGGCCUUCGGGUUGUAAAGUACUUUCAGCGGGGAGGAAGGGAGUAAAGUUAAUACCUUUGCUCAUUGACGUUACCCGCAGAAGAAGCACCGGCUAACUCCGUGCCAGCAGCCGCGGUAAUACGGAGGGUGCAAGCGUUAAUCGGAAUUACUGGGCGUAAAGCGCACGCAGGCGGUUUGUUAAGUCAGAUGUGAAAUCCCCGGGCUCAACCUGGGAACUGCAUCUGAUACUGGCAAGCUUGAGUCUCGUAGAGGGGGGUAGAAUUCCAGGUGUAGCGGUGAAAUGCGUAGAGAUCUGGAGGAAUACCGGUGGCGAAGGCGGCCCCCUGACGAAGAC
RNAcentral lists this ribosomal RNA (725 nucleotides) under Shigella sp. Its description in RNAcentral is "bacterial SSU rRNA". It matches the Rfam family "Bacterial small subunit ribosomal RNA", at positions 23 to 740 of the family's 1533-position model. The record is from RNAcentral. Lineage: Bacteria; Pseudomonadati; Pseudomonadota; Gammaproteobacteria; Enterobacterales; Enterobacteriaceae.